Canis lupus familiaris (dog) is the source of this 1134-nucleotide long non-coding RNA. RefSeq lists it as uncharacterized. The transcript is spliced from 5 exons. Lineage: Eukaryota; Metazoa; Chordata; Mammalia; Carnivora; Canidae. The record is from RefSeq and is a predicted model, not a curated record.
CUAGCAGGUUCUGUCGCCUUGAUGUUUUGCCUCUGCCUGUGUCAGAGAGGAGCCUUUUUAAGAGGCAAAGUAGCUGAGCUCCAUGAUUCUGACCUGAAAAAUUCGGCCAUUCUCCACCUAGAUCCUUGCCAGUUGAGAGCUGUUUAGUGAGCUGGGACCUGUAUGAACAGAAGCAUAAUUGUGCUACAGAUACAUUCCUAUUUGUCUGGAGAAGACGGUGAAUCUGAAGAUUGCAGACUUGGACCAGUGAAGCUUCCUUGCAUGCAGGAGAUAGGGGGAGCGCUUUACCUGUGGAAUCCAGGUGGAGGCCUCAAAGUGGAAAAAAACAAGUUCAAGAAAGGCAAAGGCAGAGGAGCACUUACUAGUCGAAGACUUUGGCUCCAACCCCAGAAAAAGUCCAGGGGCCUAGACUCGGCCAUGUGGAGGAUUCCAUCUGCCCAGGCUGGAUAAGUCUUAGAGGCCAGAGGCAAAGCAGGAUGGAAAACACUUUUCUGGGCUUUCUUCCAAUUGUUACCACCAGGCCUUCUUACUGCUUUACCACACAGAAGGAAGAAAACCAGAGGGCCACACUAGCAGUGGAGCCCAUGCCACAUGCACAGCGAGCGGUUAGCAGAGUCCACGGCAGCCUUCCCUCUGCUUGUAGAUGAAGGAAGCAGGACAUAGAACAGUUAAAGCUGCACUCUGCCUUCUGCUUAAGAAAGAGACAAGACAUGGGGACAGCUGGGUAACAAAGAAGCUCAUCAGAGAGGAAAGAAGAGCUGAGAGACAGAGAAGUGAGCAUCUUGGAUGAGAGGAAAUGAAGUCUUCACCAGGGUUAAGAGGCUUGGCCAGGAAAGUCAAAGAGAAGAUGAUAGCUGUCAACACUGGAAAUAGAGAGUUAAAGUACUGCAAGAGAAAAAAAAGCUCAGCAGAAAAAUACAAGGGGGGAAGAAUAAUAAAUGCUGCUGAAUGAAGAUCCCGAAAGAAAGAAGGCCUUCCACUGAGGCACAGAAGAGACUCAUGGGGUCUGCACCAGAACUAGCCAGCCUUUGAAUUUGUUCAGAAUGCUCACAGCUUUCCCUUACAGAGGAGGUUAUGUAAAACCAAAGAAAGAUACAUAAUAAAAGGCUAGACUACCUGAAUAAAUCCAUUGUA